GAUGAACGCUAGCGGCAGGCUUAAUACAUGCAAGUCGAGGGACAGCACAGGUAGCAAUACUGGGUGGUAACCGGCAAACGGGUGCGGAACACGUACACAACCUUCCUUUAAGUGGGGGAUAGCCCAGAGAAAUUUGGAUUAAUACCCCGUAAUAUAGUUGAAUGGCAUCAUUUGAUUAUUAUAGCUACGGCGCUUAAUGAUGGGUGUGCGGCUGAUUAGAUAGUUGGCGGGGUAACGGCCCACAAAGUCUACGAUCAGUAGCUGAUGUGAGAGCAGAGUCAGCCACACGGGCACUGAGACACGGGCCCGACUCCUACGGGAGGCAGCAGUAAGGAAUAUUGGUCAAUGGACGCAAGUCUGAACCAGCCAUGCCGCGUGAAGGAUUAAGGUCCUCUGGAUUGUAAACUUCUUUUAUUUGGGACGAAAAAGGGCCUUUCUAGGUCAACUGACGGUACCAGAUGAAUAAGCACCGGCUAACUCCGUGCCAGCAGCCGCCGCAG
RNAcentral lists this ribosomal RNA (500 nucleotides) under uncultured bacterium. RNAcentral's name for it is "partial 16S ribosomal RNA". It matches the Rfam family "Bacterial small subunit ribosomal RNA", at positions 28 to 523 of the family's 1533-position model. The record is from RNAcentral.